Homo sapiens (human) is the source of this 2130-nucleotide long non-coding RNA. NCBI's taxonomy places the organism in Eukaryota, Metazoa, Chordata, Mammalia, Primates, Hominidae. The record is from Ensembl.
ACACCGGACUGCGUUUUUUUUUUCCGAACGCCCGCAGCAGGGUCAGAAGGGAGGUGGUCGCCCUCCGUCGUGGUCUGGCGUGUAUUCCGAGCGUUGGUGUCUGGCGGUUUCCGAGCGUUGGUGUCUGGCGGUUUCUGACCGUUGGUGUCUGGCGGUUUCCGACCGUUGGUGUCUGGCACGCGCCACCCUCUCUUGCUUUGGUUGCGCCAUGCCGAUGUACCAGACAAGAAGACAAGAAAAUGAUUUGAGGACAGCUUCAAUCGCGGUGUGAAGAAGAAAGCAGCAAAACGACCACUGAAAACAACGCCGGUGGCAAAAUAUCCAAAGAAAGGGUCCCAAGCGGUACAUCGUCAUAGCCGGAAACAGUCAGAGCCACCAGCCAAUGAUAUUUUCAAUGCUGCGAAAGCUGCCAAAAGUGACAUGCAGGGAUGUCCUUCCUGAGAUCCGUGCUAUCUGCAUUGAGGAAAUUGGGUGUUGGAUGCAAAGCUACAGCACGUCUUUCCUCACCGACAGCUAUUUAAAAUAUAUUGGUUGGACUCUGCAUGAUAAGCACCGAGAAGUCCGCGUGAAGUGCGUGAAGGCUCUGAAAGGGCUGUACGGUAACCGGGACCUGACCGCACGCCUUCACUGGCCGCUUCAAGGACUGGAUGGUUUCCAUGAUCGUGGACAGAGAGUACAGUGUGGCAGUGGAGGCCGUCAGAUUACUGAUACUUAUCCUUAAGAACAUGGAAGGGGUGCUGAUGGACGUGGACUGUGAGAGCGUCUACCCCAUUGUGUAGGCCUCUAAUUGAGGCCUGGCCUCUGCUGUGGGUGAAUUUCUGUACUGGAAACUUUUCUACCCUGAGUGCGAGAUAAGAACGAUGGGUGGAAGAGAGCAACGCCAGAGCCCAGGCGCCCAGAGGACUUUCUUCCAGCUUCUGCUGUCCUUCUUUGUGGAGAGCAAGGUGACAUACACAGAGAGAACUCUGGCUGUUGUGCAUAGGACCUACAAGUGGGCUGGGGUUGGUGGCUCACGCCUGUAAGCCCAGCACUUUGGGAGGCUGAGGUGGGAGGAUCCUUUGAGCCCAGGAGUUUGAGACCAGCUUGGGCAACAUAGUGAGACCCUGUCUCUACCAAAAAAAAAAAAAAAAAAGACAAAUGGAGAAGGAUGGGGGUGUACACUGUAGGAAGGAGAGCGAUAUUUAAUCAGUAACCACUUCCUAGGGUAUUUUAACAUGCCAUCACUAAAUCCCCAUGCACCUCCUUCCCCAGCUCCACGACCACGCUGCUUACUUAGUAGACAACCUGUGGGACUGUGCAGGGACUCAGCUGAAGGACUGGGAGGGUCUGACAAGCCUGCUGCUGGAGAAGGACCAGAGCACGUGCCACAUGGAGCCAGGGCCAGGGACCUUCCACCUCCUAGGGUGAAACCAGGAGAGAUUGCUUGCUUCACUUGUACAAGGCAGGAACGGUGGCAUGGGGUGGGGGAAACUUGGAGUUGGAAGGUGGCUAAUCUUUGAUUCUAUGUUUUUGAUCCUCCUGGCACUCCAGACCUGGGUGAUGUGCAGGAGAGCACACUGAUAGAAAUCCUUGUGUCCAGUGCCCAGCAACUCCUGCCUCAGCCUCCCGAGCAGCUGGGACUACAGGUGCCCGCCACCACGCCCGGCUAACUUUUUUGUAUUUUUAGUAGAGACGGGUUUUCACCGUGUUAGCCAGGAUGGUCUUGAUCUCUUGACCUUGUGAUCCACCUGCCUCAUCAUCCCAAAGUGCUGGGAUUACAGGCGUGAGCCACUGCGCCCAGCAUGUUAGACAAUUUUUAAUUCAUCCUCUCUGUGCUGUUGUUUUCUCAGCUGUGAAAGGAAUAUUCUGGUGGGGACAAGGUUACAGAGUUGCUGAGAGGGUCUCAUGACAUGAAGGUACUGGCCUUGGCACAGUGCCUGGGGGGGCGGGGACUCCGCACAUGCCUGUGAUGUCACAGUUACUGUCAGUUCACAGCGAACCUUCCCUCCUUUUCCUGUUGACUUUCCCACACUCCUGUAACCGUCCCUCCCUCCCUUCUUCCUCUCUCUCUCACUCACGCACACGCACACACACACACACACACUCCAUUCACUGUCUCCAUGACUCUGGAGUAAACUAACGUCUCGAGUU